This 301-nucleotide ribosomal RNA is filed under the name uncultured bacterium. RNAcentral's name for it is "partial 16S ribosomal RNA". It matches the Rfam family "Bacterial small subunit ribosomal RNA", at positions 509 to 807 of the family's 1533-position model. The record is from RNAcentral.
CAGUCGCCACGGUAAUACGUAGGGUGCAAGCGUUAAUCGGAAUUACUGGGCGUAAAGCGUACGCAGGCGGUUAUAUAAGUCAGAUGUGAAAUCCCCGGGCUCAACCUGGGAACUGCAUUUGAGACUGUGUGGCUAGAGUGUGUCAGAGGGGGGUAGAAUUCCACGUGUAGCAGUGAAAUGCGUAGAUAUGUGGAGGAAUACCGAUGGCGAAGGCAGCCCCCUGGGAUAACACUGACGCUCAUGCACGAAAGCGUGGGGAGCAAACAGGAUUAGAUACCCGGGUAGUCCCUGUCUCUUAUAC